UAUUCCACUCAUAAAGAGAAAGGAAAGAAAGACAGUACAUCUACAGCCAAUUCUUUCGUGGAGAUCGAAUUUAUGGCUCAUUAAAUCAGUCAUGGUUCUUUGUAUCGUAUACUACUUGGAUAACUGUGGCAAUAGGCAGUUCUAAAGCUAGUACAUGCAGCAGAGCUUCGAAUCUCUGAAAGGGGCAAGAUCUUUAUUACCUCAAAACCAAUCGAACCUCGUGUCCAUGGUAUGCCGCGAUUCUGAAUAACUUUAGGCUGAUUACACGGACUCAUCUCGGUGCGUAUCUUUCAACUGUCUGCCUUAUCAACUGUCGAUAGGUUAUGCGCCUACAAUAGUCAUAAUGGGUGACGGAGAAUCAGGGUUCGAAUCCGGAGAAGAAGCCCGAGAAGAGGCUAUCAUAUCCAACGGCAAAUCCAAGAAGCGCAAAUUAAUCACUCUCAGAAAGGGGAGUUAGUGACGAAAAAUAACACUACGGGGAUUCUUUUGAGAACCCCGUAGUGUUCUCCUGUAUGUAGUGUGGAAUGAGUACACUUGAAAUCUUUUAUCGAGGAUCAACAGGAGGGAAAGUCUGGUGCCAGUAGCCGUUUUAAUUCCAGCUCCAAAAGCAUA
Molecule: non-coding RNA, 612 nt
Filed under: Stegodyphus mimosarum
Lineage: Eukaryota; Metazoa; Arthropoda; Arachnida; Araneae; Eresidae
Description: eukaryotic small subunit ribosomal RNA
Rfam family: Eukaryotic small subunit ribosomal RNA
Source: Rfam by way of RNAcentral